GAAGCUCAGUGUCUUCAGCCACAUGGUGUGCUCUGGGGGCUAGAUCUGGGUACAUCUACUCCAAGAGGUUUGUCCCAUGUUUAAUUUAUGGGCUGAUUAAUGAGUUCUUAGCAUACAAUGCAUUUAAUUCCAUUUCGGCCUGAUUUAUGGUGUGAUGUGAACUGCAUGUGAAGUUUUUAAUUCAGUAGGUGGUGACUGAUUCGGUAUAUGGAGUGUGACAGAAGAGGUGAUGGAUUUGGUUCCAAAGCCAUGCAUCAAGUUCAGUGUGAAGUGCAUCAAAUCCAUCACACGGCGCAUCAGCUUCAGAGCAGGACACCCCGGUGCUGGCCAUGCCACGCCGGGUUGUGUAGCCUCAGGAAUUGUUCUCGGCCCAGCAGUGACAAUAGGACAGAAGGACAAAAGCAGCUGCAACACCAGAGAGAAAUGGGUUCAGAGGGAAAAGUCAAAGAAUGACUUUGAAAAUGGGAAAUAACAAAUGAACAGAAGGACCUCCAGCUACUCAGCGAAACACUCCUUAGGUCCUUUGUGUUCAUUUCAGACGAUAGAGGAAAACCAUCAGCUCAAUCAGUCACGACAGACAGGGGUCCUGCUGCUUGCACGAGCCUCGGAGAGCAGCUCAUGCUCAGGAUCACGUCUUCCAGGGCCAGUACGGGAUCACUAAACAUCAAACGCUGUGUGCUGUUCGCACUGAAUAGUGUACUCGUGCGGGCCCUGCAGUGACAAGAGAUGGGUGCGUUUGGAGGAGCUCGGCUCUGUAAACCAGAGCACCUGGGACACGCAGAGAAAUACAGGAGUGCUUCAACAUCACAGCAAUGCAGAAUGCAUUUAGAGCAGGAGCUGCAGCGUUCUGGUUUAUUAUUUAUUUACAGAGUUUGUAAAUGUAAAUGUAUUUAGACCUUUAAUUUUCAGAGGCUUGGGCUGCCUUCUACUCGUUGUUUAAUAUUCAGGUGAAAAGCUGCCACAUCUGUCUGCAGCACGUCUGUACAGCACAGCUGCCUCGGCACGGCAUUUUGGCUGCUCUUUCUUUGCAUUUGUACACGUUGGCCAAGCUAUGUUUUGCUGUAAAGCACUUGAAAAGAACUAAGUGGCACAGCACACAGGAGCUGGUUUCAGCUCUCCUUCCCCGGCAGCACCCUGCAAUCCUGCCCAGAGAAAGCCAGAUGAAAUUUUGGGCCGCUGCAUUCACGCAGAUGAACAUUUGGUGUCUGGGUAGACAGUGCAAUAUAAAGUAACAAGCAUCUAAUUCCCAUCCAUCCGGAUUUGCCAUACAAGUGAAACACCUUCAGAAAGGAGACUGAGCCCGUCAAUGUGCAAUAAAUGGCACAAGGCGACGUCAGACCACACAAUACAUCCAUCCUAAUCCCUUGCUGGAAAUCAGGGAGGUUAAAAAUAAAAACCCUUCGAGUGUUGACUGUUUACACAGCUGUAGUACAAAUAUUUAGGUUUACAAGAGAAAUGCUUGCUCAGCCAAAACCCCUCUGAGACCUCUGCAGUCAGCAGCAGGGGGUUUACGGAGGCCUGACAUUUCCUCAGAAAAACUGAAAUGGAUCCUAACGAAAGCAGAGAGCAAUGCUCAUCCGUGGGGCUGGCUGCACUGGGGUGGGCAGCGGGGCCAGGGGAGCUGCUGGUGACACCGGUGUGCGGGCACUGGGAUGAGGGGACACAGGCUGCGGCCUGGCCCUGGGUCCAACCACAGCCGCUGCCGUCCCCCAGGCACUGCCACACGUGCUCCCGGCCCAGGCCGCCUCCUUCCACCUCCCCUCCAGUUAAAAGCUGCUAAGUGGAUUUCCCACCCGGCAAGCCGUCGCUUUAGGAAUACCGCACGGUACAGCCGUUAUUAAAAAGGGGAUUUUUCCUAAUGCACCUACUGUGUCUUCAUUAUGUCAGCGCACCUCCGUGAAGAGAUUUAUGGAGGAAUCCAUCCAUUCACUUCCACGCGUAAUUCCUCAAUAGCCUAUUUGCUUCAAAGACUUUUAUUGACUUUUACUACUACAUGAAUCCUCAGAUAUUUAUUUUUUAGGUCCCAGGGGACCCAUUGAAGGAAAAAUUCACUUUAUGAAGUUUUAUGGCAAAGGUUUUGCGGUGGAUAAAAGCUUCACGUUAUUUCCAAACUUCUGUUCUCCACACAGAAGGCUUCAUGGGGUCUGCUCCUAGACUGGCAUGGGGCACUUAAGGCUAAAAAUUUAGCUCUAAGGAAUAAAUAAGGAAAAGAAGAGGAAAAGUACUUCUCCUCCAUGCCUGGUGUCUCAGGCCUUGUUGUCCCCAUGCAGUUUGGCAGGGUGUUUUUGGAGCCAGUCUGUGUGGGGAUGCAGCUUUUUGCCACGCUGCCAGUUGCAUCCCCAUCAUCACACUGCCACCUGGAACGUCCCCCAGACGUGGGACAUUAUACCAGGCUGGCCAGAGCAGUGGUGGAGGUGGCAAAAGCACACUGCGAGCACAUGAGGUGUCUCCAGCCCUCCAGGUUUGCCUGGGAAAUUGCUAGUGACAGUGAACCAGGGCAAUUAGCCCUAAUCCUCCUGGGUAAUCACCAGCCCUCCUCCGUCCCUGCUCCUCUCCCUUCCUUUCCUUUGCUCGCUCAUUAAUCGAAACAGAAACUUUCUGUCACCGCUGAUUGUGGUACCCAGUAUCAGGUGCCUGGAAGCAUGAAACUAAAAGCUGGGAAGCGUGCUCCUUUGGCCCAAAUAAACAGGUGUCAGGGAAUGUAAUCUAAUCAUGCCGUGAUUGAAUUCAGCGGAAGAAGCUGCGUCACGCACACAAAAUACUCAUUCUGAUAAUCAGUUUGAGGCAGUCGCUGUUUGGCGACGUGCUCGGAUGUCCCUGCCAGCUGGUGACACGGGAGAGGCUGGGAGACCACGGCCAGGUUUGGGAGAAAUGGGGCUGGUGAGCAUCAGCCCUGCUGCACCCUCUGAUGGGCACUUUGCUGGGAGGGUCCAUCAAACAGCUCUUCUUGUACACAACAUGCCUUUCAAGCAAAGAAAAAAAAAAAAAGGCUUUGGAGCAAAUGAGCCUCAGGCUGGGCUGUGUCCUGUGCUGAGGUUCCUCCAGUGGGAUCACAAAGUGGAGCCAAUGAGGGAUGAAAAGGAAAAGCUCAUUGCACACUUGGAAGGGAAAUCUAUGCAAAGUUUAUACUGGAGGAAAGAAAAUGAGGAUUUACAGCUGCAGAGACUUCAGGCAGGGCCCCAGCUCUGAGCACACCUCGAAUCGUGAUGAAUCUCCCAGCUGCUGGAGCUAAUGCAUUAUAUAUUGAAAUCAUUUGUGUUCAUUUGCAGCAAAUAAUUACUUUAAAAUGUUAUCAUUCAUUUGGGUUAUUUGACUUCUCUAUUAAUUGUGCGAAUAACCGUUUAAAAGACAUCAUUUGGGUUAGUGAAAAUCAUCAGCAGUGCUGCUUCACUUGUUGGAACUUGGGGGAACUGCAGAGCCCUGGACCCCCAUGUGGCUCAGGGUGGCUUUGCUUUUCCCUCCUGAGAAAAAAAUGAGGUCUGAAGGUCAGCUCAUGCCUCAAACCUCACGUUUCUCUCCCAGUUGUUGGGAAAUAUGCCCAUUUUCAAGCUAAAGGUGCAACCGUGUCAGUCCUUGCUUCCCUUUGAUGUGAAUAUUCUGUCCUGUGGCACCUAAAAGAAAAAGCAAUCUUCUUGCUCACACCACUUUAUAACACAAACAAAGGUACAAGGUAAAAUGCAGGAGUGCAAUGAACCCCUCCAUUGUGUGCCCUUCAAUCUGCCGUGAUAAACGGGGAUUUGGCUGGAAGAUUUUUCAUGCAUUAGCAUGAAAAUAGGAACAAGGCUAUUUUCCUUCCUUGUGAGCCGAGACGAAAGAGCUAUGCCUUCAGGCUCAGCAACACCCCUCUUGAUUUCAAGCGGGUGAAAUUAAAUAAAGUGGGAGGGAGGGAAAAGUCUGGGGUAGAGGACUGUUAAAAGUUAUUCCUGGGGCCCUGACUAUGCUUCCCAUGUUUCAGGCAGGUAAAGCCUUGCCAAAAAAUGUUAAAAGCAAGUGGUCAGUUCUUCUCCCAGAAGAAUAUAUUCCAGAGAAAUCCCAAGGGAAGACUUAAAUCUCUCCGCGUUGAAUUUGGUUGAGGCUUGAGUGACACCCAGUGGGGUCAGCACUGGGCAUUGAGCCCCCACCGCUCACCCUGCCCGCAGCCGCCUUCCUGUGCCAGGGCUGCUGGCAGCAGAGAAGGACUUUGCCUUCCUUCCAGUCACACAAAGAUGAUUUAAGGCACCCAAAGUUUCAAGCCAGGACUUUUAACUGAAAAGAGGCAUCGAUUUUCUGUAGCUGGGAGAAUAAAAGGCUCGCUCUGGUGAAAGAAAAAAAAAAAAAAAAAAGCUGUUCAAGAAGCCACCUUGACAUGUGCUGUGCAUGUUAUUACCUGCACUGUGCAGAGCAGGCAUGGAGGGGACCAGCACCUGUGUCCCCUCCUCGGGGUCUCCCCUUUCAGGGGUGCAGACCUGUGACCCCAUCUUUGGGCUUGGGCACCAAAUCACACCCCUUGAGCAAAACCUGUUAUGGAUGGAGGCGUAAACACCAUGGGGGAAGGAUGGGGAAGAUGUGUUAAUUUUUCACAAGAGAUGUGUUAGAAGAUAUACAGAAGCAUGGUGGCCCAUCAGCAGCAUCUCACCCUGGCACCCACUUUCCCUCAUGGCCACCAAAGCCCCAAGCCCAGGUGCCAGUAGGGAGCUGGCAGAGCUCCCCCAGCCCCUCCCUGGAAACACUCAUUAAUUCCCUGCUUCUUCCUUAAUUGCAUUAAAGCAGUGUCCAUUCUACCAUUGCUUUACAAUGCCGCAGCUUAAAUCCACUAUUAAGGCAGGAGCGUUGUGGCUUGGAUCCUUCAAUUAACAUGAGUGAUCUCACCUUUGUCCACAGCAUCUUUUUCCAUGCUAUUACACUGGGUAAUUGUUAAACUACUGACUGGCUCCGAGAGGUCUGUACUUUCAUCAAAAUGUCCUGCUUUUCUGACCCAGCAACUUAUCCACAUUUUUGAGCCUAAUAUUUUCAGGUGAUUUGAGUUAAAUCAAUUGCAAAAAAUCGAUGAAUUAUUUAAAGUGCUGGUGGUCUCCAGCUAUGAAACGGGGUUUGGUCAAAGUUCCCCCCAUAUCCUAGGAGCAUUAAGGUGCUCCCAGGGAAAUCAGCUCCCCACUGACCACAGCUAUCAAAAGAACUGAUCAAAUUCAUUUGAAAACUUUCCACACUUGUGGAAAAAAGCAUUCAUAAAUUUUUAAUGUCCCCUUGUUUUGUCUCUUGCUAGAAAAAAGGCAGGGAGAGAAAUGAGGGGCUCUUCCCUCAGGACAGAAAAGCCCUUCCAACUCUUUUGAGCUGCUAAGAAACACUACCCAAGUUUUUUGUUGUUGUGAAAUUUCAUCGAAAAUGGAGCAGGGUGGGGAAAAAAAGAGCCCAGAAACACAACCCAGAAGUCUUCUCAGGACACCCUUUGUCCCUGCAAGUGAGCACUGAUCUCGCUUCACCACUACAGUAACAGCCAGGGGUCUGCAGGAGGCCCAGCAUCAUCUCCCCUAUGUAAGGGACAGGAGAAGGCCUGAGCCUCAGCACACACACCUAAGCCUUGGUCUUCUCCUCCCCACCCCAGCUUGCUGCCCCAGGAGCAGCUGUGGGGCCAAAUUGGGACCAGGAGAGGGAGGAAAUCCACCUGUGCUGACUGUCCCACCAGUGCUGGAGGCUUGUCCUCUGCCAUGGCUCCCAGCCUGCAGCAAGCACCAGCUGCACCUCACAAUGCCUUGAUGGCUGCCACGGUGCUGUUAUGACUGCAGGAUGAGCUCACAAAGGCCUAAUGGUCUUGCCUGGCCUCACCUGGGACCCACACCCCCACAUGGGCCCUGGACACCAUUUAAGUGCAGCCCUAGGCCAGCAGUUUUGGUUGGGCUGUGCUGGAGGUCUUGAGCCUCCCCUCUGGGCCUUCUGGGGUGGGCUUUGGGGUAACAGGUUUUCAGUCCUAUCUCAUUCUGCUCCCAGCUCAUCUCCCUGGUGGGACGUGGGAUGUGUUUUGUGGCUUUUUGUGUCUGGGACUGUUAAUGGACCCUGUCAGCUGCCCUGGUGGGACUGGACACUGUCAGCUCCCAGCCUGUCCUGCUGCUCUCCAACAGCCAUGCAAAGGCUUUAGGAUUCUUCUUUCCCCGAGAGGAACAAAGAUUUUGUUCUACCAGAGCAGGAGGGAGUGUCUUGGGAAGGCAGGCAAAAUUGCAAUGUAAUGCUGGAACUCUGGCUGGAGUUCAACACCUAAAGGUCAGGUGAUGAGGUUGUGGCGUGAUACCUGCACAGAUAUGCAAUUCCUGGAGCCUCAAUUUUGUACUUGAAUGGGGGCAAGGGGAAGAAGGAGGUAGGAAAAUGGUUCUUUCCUUUGAGUGUGCUUUUAUUGACCGAACGAAGCAGCAGGCUAUUCAGGUCUUCUGAGCUGCUAUUAUCCUCGUGGUCUUGUGCCACAAAACAGAGGAAAAUGCUGUCUGUUGAGGCAGAAAGAGAAGGCCAAGGAAGGACCACAGACAGAUGAAGUCACUCAAAUCUGGGGGACCCUGAAACAUGCCUGGAGCUCCAAAAUGAGUUUGAAGAACAAUACCCAGUGUGUUCAGUGUGCUCCAGGAGGGAGGGGAAAAGGAAAGGCAAAGUGGUCCCUGUGCCCAAACCUUGCUGCCCAACCACAGAACAAAGGAAAAGGAGACAGUCUGAAAAAAGACAGUACUGAAAAAUACUGAUUUGCUGGUAUAAAAGA
Long non-coding RNA from Cygnus olor (mute swan), 6718 nucleotides. RefSeq lists it as uncharacterized. The transcript is spliced from 4 exons. Lineage: Eukaryota; Metazoa; Chordata; Aves; Anseriformes; Anatidae. The record is from RefSeq and is a predicted model, not a curated record.